Molecule: unclassified non-coding RNA, 300 nt
Organism: Callithrix jacchus (white-tufted-ear marmoset)
Lineage: Eukaryota; Metazoa; Chordata; Mammalia; Primates; Cebidae
Rfam family: Metazoan signal recognition particle RNA
About the family: The signal recognition particle (SRP) is a universally conserved ribonucleoprotein. It is involved in the co-translational targeting of proteins to membranes.
Source: Ensembl
GCCAGGCAUGGUGGUGAAUGCUUGUAGUCCCAGGUACUUGGGAGGCCAAGGUGGUAGGAUUGCUUGAGCCCAGUAGUUCUGGGCUGUAGUGCAUUAUGUCGAUUGGGUGUCUGCACUAAGUUCGGCAUCAAUAUGGUGACCCCCCAGGAGCAGGAGACCACCAGGUUGCCUAAGGAGGGGUGAACCAGUCCAGGUUGGAAACAGAGCAGGUCAAAACUCCUGUGCUGAUUAGUAGUGAGAUUGCACCUGUGAAUAGCCACUGCCUUCCAGCCUGGGCAACAUAGUGAGACCCCAUCUCUU